UGAACGCUGGCGGCAUGCCUUACACAUGCAAGUCGAACGGCAGCGCGGACUUCGGUCUGGCGGCGAGUGGCGAACGGGUGAGUAAUACAUCGGAACGUACCCUGUUGUGGGGGAUAACUAGUCGAAAGAUUAGCUAAUACCGCAUACGACCUGAGGGUGAAAGCGGGGGACCUUCGGGCCUCGUGCUACAAGAGCAGCCGAUGUCAGAUUAGCUUGUUGGUGAGGUAAAAGCUCACCAAGGCGACGAUCUGUAGCUGGUCUGAGAGGACGACCAGCCACACUGGGACUGAGACACGGCCCAGACUCCUACGGGAGGCAGCAGUGGGGAAUUUUGGACAAUGGGCGAAAGCCUGAUCCAGCAAUGCCGCGUGUGUG
Molecule: ribosomal RNA, 375 nt
Filed under: uncultured bacterium
Lineage: Bacteria
Description: bacterial SSU rRNA
Rfam family: Bacterial small subunit ribosomal RNA
Source: RNAcentral